RNAcentral lists this ribosomal RNA (504 nucleotides) under uncultured bacterium. RNAcentral's name for it is "bacterial SSU rRNA". It matches the Rfam family "Bacterial small subunit ribosomal RNA", at positions 29 to 529 of the family's 1533-position model. The record is from RNAcentral.
AAUAAACGCUGGCGGCGUGCCUAACACAUGCAAGUCGAGCGAGAAAGCUCCUUCGGGAGUUAGUAAAGCGGCGAACGGGUGAGCAACACGUGAGAAUCUACCCUUUAGUGAAGAAUACCCUCGAGAAAUCGAGGCUAAUACUGCAUACGUCCCUUCGGGGAGAAAGAUGGCCUCUUUGCUAUCGCUAAAGGAUGAGCUUGCGUACUAUUAGCUAGUUGGCGGGGUAAAGGCCCACCAAGGCAAUGAUGGUUAACCGGCCUGAGAGGGUGUACGGUCACACUGGAACUUAGACACGGUCCAGACUCCUACGGGAGGCAGCAGUGAGGAAUCUUGCGCAAUGGGCGAAAGCCUGACGCAGCGACGCCGCGUGGAGGAUGACGGUUUUCGGAUUGUAAACUCCUGUUAAGCGGGAAGAAAGCCUUGUUUCUAAUACAAGCAAGGUAUGACGGUACCGCUAGAGAAAGCACCGGCUAACUUCGUGCCAGCAGCCGCGGUAAAGUCGUC